CCUACGGGGGGCAGCAGUGAGGAAUAUUGGUCAAUGGUCGGGAGACUGAACCAGCCAAGCCGCGUGAGGGAUGAAGGUACAGAGUAUCGUAAACCUCUUUUGUCAGGGAAUAAAGGCGGGGACGUGUCCCCGGAUGAGUGUACCUGAAGAAAAAGCAUCGGCUAACUCCGUGCCAGCAGCCGCGGUAAUACGGAGGAUGCGAGCGUUAUCCGGAUUUAUUGGGUUUAAAGGGUGCGAGGGCGGUGUGUUAAGUCAGCGGUAAAAGCCCGGGGCUCAACCCGGACCCGCCGUUGAAACUGGCAGUCGCGAGUUGGAGAGAAGUAUGCGGAAUGCGCGGUGUAGCGGUGAAAUGCAUAGAUAUCGCGAAGAACUCCGAUUGCGAAGGCAGCAUGCCGGCUCCACACUGACGCUGAGGCACGAAAGCGUGGGUAUCGAACAGGAUUAGAUACCCGUGUAGUC
Molecule: ribosomal RNA, 459 nt
Filed under: uncultured bacterium
Lineage: Bacteria
Description: partial 16S ribosomal RNA
Rfam family: Bacterial small subunit ribosomal RNA
Source: RNAcentral